Molecule: ribosomal RNA, 114 nt
Filed under: Pteropus alecto (black flying fox)
Lineage: Eukaryota; Metazoa; Chordata; Mammalia; Chiroptera; Pteropodidae
Source: RNAcentral
UAUUAUGGAGACCCUGAACAAGCCCUAUCCCGUCAGAUCUCGGAAACUAAGCAAGGUUGGGCCUGGUUAGUACUUGGAUGGGAGACCACCUUGGAAUACCAGGUGCUGUAGGCG